CUUGUAAAUGAGAGUUUUAACCACUAUUGAUUAUUUUUGAUUGUUUCAAAUUUUCAGUGCUUCGCCAAGACCUGAAAAAUACUCUUAGAAUGUUAAGCGGAUUGAAUCAAAAAUUCAAGUUAAAAUGCGAAAUGUAAGUUGGUCUUAUUUCGCCUUUCGAACUAGUCUGAAAGAAAUAAAAACACCUAACUGUGAAGUUUUUAAUACAAAACACAAAAAUUU
Molecule: non-coding RNA, 222 nt
Organism: Caenorhabditis elegans
Lineage: Eukaryota; Metazoa; Nematoda; Chromadorea; Rhabditida; Rhabditidae
Source: Ensembl